This 504-nucleotide ribosomal RNA is filed under the name uncultured bacterium. Its description in RNAcentral is "bacterial SSU rRNA". It matches the Rfam family "Bacterial small subunit ribosomal RNA", at positions 15 to 507 of the family's 1533-position model. The record is from RNAcentral.
GAUCAUGGCUCAGAUUGAACGCUGGCGGCAGGCCUAACACAUGCAAGUCGAACGGUAACAGGAAGAAGCUUGCUUCUUUGCUGACGAGUGGCGGACGGGUGAGUAAUGUCUGGGAAACUGCCUGAUGGAGGGGGAUAACUACUGGAAACGGUAGCUAAUACCGCAUAACGUCGCAAGACCAAAGAGGGGGGACCUUCGGGCCUCUUGCCAUCGGAUGUGCCCAGAUGGGAUUAGCUAGUAGGUGGGGUAACGGCUCACCUAGGCGACGAUCCCUAGCUGGUCUGAGAGGAUGACCAGCCACACUGGAACUGAGACACGGUCCAGACUCCUACGGGAGGCAGCAGUGGGGAAUAUUGCACAAUGGGCGCAAGCCUGAUGCAGCCAUGCCGCGUGUAUGAAGAAGGCCUUCGGGUUGUAAAGUACUUUCAGCGGGGAGGAAGGGAGUAAAGUUAAUACCUUUGCUCAUUGACGUUACCCGCAGAAGAAGCACCGGCUAACUCCGUG